GUGGGGAAUAUUGGACAAUGGGGGCAACCCUGAUCCAGCAAUGCCGCGUGUGUGAAGAAGGUCUUCGGAUUGUAAAGCACUUUCGACGGGGACGAUGAUGACGGUACCCGUAGAAGAAGCCCCGGCUAACUUCGUGCCAGCAGCCGCGGUAAUACGAAGGGGGCUAGCGUUGCUCGGAAUGACUGGGCGUAAAGGGCGCGUAGGCGGCGGCGUAAGUCAGAUGUGAAAUUCCUGGGCUUAACCUGGGGGCUGCAUUUGAGACUGCGUUGCUAGAGGAUGGAAGAGGCUCGUGGAAUUCCCAGUGUAGAGGUGAAAUUCGUAGAUAUUGGGAAGAACACCGGUGGCGAAGGCGGCGAGCUGGUCCAUUACUGACGCUGAGGCGCGAUAGCGUGGGGAGCAAA
Molecule: ribosomal RNA, 401 nt
Filed under: alpha proteobacterium SCGC AAA487-G11
Lineage: Bacteria; Pseudomonadati; Pseudomonadota; Alphaproteobacteria
Description: bacterial SSU rRNA
Rfam family: Bacterial small subunit ribosomal RNA
Source: RNAcentral